GAUGAACGCUAGCUACAGGCUUAACACAUGCAAGUCGAGGGGCAGCACAGUGUAGCAAUACACGGGUGGCGACCGGCGCACGGGUGCGUAACGCGUAUCCAACCUUCCCGUUACUCUUGGAUAGCCUUCCGAAAGGGAGAUUAAUACAAGAUGGUAUUCAAAUUCCGCAUGUUAUUUGAAUUAAAGAUUUAUCGGUAACGGAUGGGGAUGCGUGACAUUAGAUAGUAGGCGGGGUAACGGCCCACCUAGUCUACGAUGUCUAGGGGUUCUGAGAGGAAGGUCCCCCACACUGGAACUGAGACACGGUCCAGACUCCUACGGGAGGCAGCAGUGAGGAAUAUUGGUCAAUGGUCGGAAGACUGAACCAGCCAAGUAGCGUGAAGGAUGAAGGUUCUAUGGAUUGUAAACUUCUUUUAUACGGGAAUAAAACCACCUACGUGUAGGUGCUUGUAUGUACCGUAUGAAUAAGCAUCGGCUAACUCCGUG
Molecule: ribosomal RNA, 486 nt
Filed under: uncultured bacterium
Lineage: Bacteria
Description: bacterial SSU rRNA
Rfam family: Bacterial small subunit ribosomal RNA
Source: RNAcentral